This 1340-nucleotide long non-coding RNA is filed under the name Canis lupus dingo (dingo). RNAcentral's name for it is "lncRNA (ENSCAFG00020003138.1)". The record is from RNAcentral. Lineage: Eukaryota; Metazoa; Chordata; Mammalia; Carnivora; Canidae.
CUCAGAUUGGGGAUGUGUUGAUGAACUUUCUAGAACAGUUAGUUGCUGCAAACACUGAAGCUACAGAAAGGUAGAGCUGGCCCAGCAGAAGUGAAUUUGAGUUGUGGACUAGCCAUGUGGACCUACAUCCCAUCCAGUCGGUGUGGACACUACCUGGACGAUGGCAAAAGCUGUGUGUGCUGUCCUCCAGCCGGGUGGGGAGGGUGGCUUCAUGCUCAGAAUUAACAGGAGAGACAGAAUCACAGGGGGAAGGCAGUAUUUCUCUAAUAAGAGGAACAAAGAAGAAAUUAUUUUUUCCAAGAAACUAACUGGAGGUAGGGCAGCCCUGCAGUUACCUAAAGGAAUAAACUCUAGGCUUGUCCCUGGAUAUUUCUGUGCCCCCUGCCCAUCCCUACCCUAAGUCUUUCUGGAAGAAAUGACUUCAGCGUCCAAAUACUGGAAGAGGGAUCCCUGGGUGGCGCAGCGGUUUGGCGCCUGCCUUUGGCCCAGGGCGCGAUCCUGGAGACCCGGGAUCGAAUCCCACGUCGGGCUCCCGGUGCAUGGAGCCUGCUUCUCCCUCUGCCUGUGUCUCUGCGCCUCUCUCUCUCUCUCUCUCUCUCUCUAACUAUCAUAAAUAAAUAAAAAUUAAAAAAAAAAAAAAAAAAACAAAUACUGGAAGAGAGGGUAGAGUCAGUGAUGUGGGCCCAGAAAGGGUGAGGUCAUCGUGGGAUGGAGAGACCAGGGAAAGCCCUGGUGGUGGGUGCAGGCACCCAGUGCCUGUGUCCAGCUGCAGAAACAAUGGGGAGGCAGAGGAAAGCAUGAACACUGCCACACUGACAGCCCACCCCACCCUCCACCUGUCUCCCUCAGCCCUGCCGAGCCCUCAGCAUCCAGCUGCUGCCAGAGAUGGAAGCUGGGGAGCCGGAACCCGGCCGAGAGAGGAGCCCAGGGCGACCACAGCCAGGAGCUGGGCCUGGGGAAGCAGCGGCUCCCACGCCCUCCCUGCAGACACAGCCCCGCCACAGCUACCUGCUCACCUCCCAAAUCAGGACUGCACGGCUGCACUGCCCCGGCACCCGCUGACCUCCCUGACCUUCGAGGACGUGGCUGUGCGCUUCAGCAGCCCAGAGUGGCGGUGUCUGAACCGCAUGCAGAGGCUCCUCUACACAGACGUGAUGCUGGAAAACUAUAGGAACAUGUUGGCAGUGGGUAAGAACAGCCCUGGGCUCGGCCUCGCCUUCUCCCCUCUCCGCUUUCUUUCACUUGUUUUGUUCAUCCAUGUGUGUGAGGUCUCUGUUCUACAGCAAAAUAACCGCAAGAACAGGGAAAUGUUCUUAGGAUCUCCUCUGCCUAUCUGAGGG